GACCUUGAUGCCUGUAAGUUUCUUUAGCAGGAUUUAAUUUGGAUAUGGGGAUAAGAUCCUGGCCUUCCACCUUAUGGUGGAGGGGCCCCGACCCCCUCCUUUUUAUGCCUGUAAGUCCUGAAUGUAAAAAUUAUAUUCCCCUGAUAGACAAAUAUUAAAGUCAAUUCAAAUUUCAGACAUUUAGAGAAAUAAUUCAUAAGGUAAACAGACACAGCCACAAGGGCUCUUAGACAUUUGGAUGAACCCAGUGUGAUUUUAUUUUGGUUGUCAACAUUGCUAAUUCAUGUCAACUUGUUUACAGCAAAACCCAGGACAUUUGUCAAAUCAAUUUUCUUGCAGAUGUUGUCAGGUAAGAACUAAGAGCCAGAAACUGCAUUUGAGUAAAUUAUUUUACAUCAUAAUGUUAUAUAUAGGAAACUUGUGGUCUCCUGGAAAUCGUUCUGCCAUGAUGUUCCAUUAACAACUUUGUGUCAACUUGACAUGGUUUUUGAUGGCUAUGUUUGCAGAAAAUGAAUGGGCAUUUGACUUACUUUAUUGUAUGGCUUUUAUGGUCAUGGACAAAAAGUGGCUAGAGAGAAAUGCCACGUAUAUGGAGUUCAAUGUAAGGAACAAAUUUAUCAAUUCCACGAAACUUGAUCUCAACAUAGCUCUUGAUUUUUUGAAUGUGAAAUUUCAAACCUGAUCAGGAGUCAAAAAUAGGGUAUUGACUAAGUAAAGUAUUUUUCUGUAGGAUGUCCUGAAAUCCACCCGGACUCAGCUGGAGAGAGAACUUCUUAUGGAUGAUGUCCUAAGAAUUGAAGAUAUGCCUUCUUAUAGUCUUCUAUGUUAGCAAAAGCCAGGUAGAAGUUCAGCAGGAGCCAUGAUUUGUUCAAUCCGUUGAUAUAUUUAUCAAAAUCAUGAUUGGACAUUUUCUCUUAUGCUUUCCCACUUGCUGGAUUCUAUCGUUGCAAGUUUGCAACUCUAUUGUUCUCAAGCUAUUACUGGGGAUUGGCGGAACUCAAAGAGAAGUAUGAAAAGAGUUUGUGAGAUUCCAUUUUUAGAAUUUUUAUCUGCUUCUGAAUAACUGGUUCAAUUUUCUAGAAACUGAAGGCAUCUUUGGAACAAAUCUAGAAUCUAUCAAUAGAAUUGUUUACAAAUCCCAUAAAUAGUUGAACCAGAAGAUGUGAAAUUUAGAACACAUUGUUCCAAUUCAUGUGAGAUUCUAUAUGAAGUCAAUUUUUAUAAUUUUCUAAUAGAAUUUUCAUCAUAUCCUAGUUAAACAUACACAGAAUGUAAUUUAGAACAAAAUUGAAUCAUUUAAAAUUUCACUCGAGGGUUAGAGUUGUCUGGUACAAUCUGUUGUGCAACAAAUAAGAAAAUUUAUUAAUUUGUACAGGAGAUUAAUUGAUCUUUGACAGAGACUUCCGGUGCAAAGCAUGACAAUUGACAAAAGCCUGAAUUUUGUAGGGCAUAGCAGAGAGAUGUCUUUUUGUUCCAGGUUCAUUGUUCAUUUGGUCAUAGGACAGACAAGUUUGGCUUCUCUCUCUUUAUUACUCUUACAUGCUUAUAUUGAUGGAUUCUAUCAGUAUCAUAAUUUCCUUUCAGUUUGCUUCUUUUUCUAAGCAACCAAACAGAGCAUAACACAAUAUUAUAAGAAAAUAUUCUAGAUCAUGGGAUCAUCAACCAAUGCUCUAACAAAGAAGUGGUCCCAAUCUACAGCAUCAACCAAUCUCCUAACAAAGAAAUUACAAUACUAUUUUAUGUUUUCCUUCUUCCCUUUGUUUGUCCUCUACUUUUUUUUUUUCUUGCUUUCUAUAUAAAUUAUAAAGUAGAACAGCCAGUUUCUGUUGCUUCUUUAUCAGUAUUAAGUUGCGCAGAAACUAAAGAUAAUAAUAAUAAUAAUAAAUAGAGCAUCUCUUCUAUCAAUAUGCUAUGAGUUAGUUCUGGACGCUCUUGGUAUCUAACUUUUGAUCUCCCAACUAAUUUAGACACAUUGAAAAGUAAACAAGUUGGGAGUGUUUAGUUGAAAGUGAUACAGUAACUGCUGUCUAAUCAUAUUUACAACUUCUGGAGGCUGAUCUUUUUUGGACCAUGGCAGAGUUAUAUAUAUAGAAGAGGUUUGUAAGGAUAUUGGGGCUAUGUUUUGGAUGAAGGAGAGGGAAAUGGAACUGGAAGAGUAGAAAAGAAAAUUGACUCCAUCGUUUCAUUUACAUUUAGAGAUCGAGUGAAGGCUUAGAGUGGCAUGCGGCGUAUUUCAUUUUUGUUUUAGCUCUCCUCACUAAAAACCCAAAAAAGAAAAAACAAACAAACACCAUUUCGUGAAUUUUCAAUAGUAGUUUGCAAUUAUGUCUUUUUAUUAGAUAAAAAAAAAUGUAAUAAUCAAUUUACCUUUAAUUUUUAAUUAACUAUAAAUCAUACUCUGUAUAAUUUUUAACUAUAAAAACAAUUUUAAUAUUAUAUAUAAUAUUAUUUUCUAGAAUUUCUAAACUAUAAAACUAAUAUGUUAAUAUUAGUUAUAAAAAUAUAUUGUAUAAAGGAUAAAAAAAAUUUAUAUUAUCUACUCAAAUUUUAAAAUGUAAAGUAAAACUAAUAUAAUAAUUAUAGUUAUGUAACUCGCGAAUGUAAAAAUUUGGUCUGAGAUAAUUUAAUAUAUGUGGAAUAAUAAAUUAAAAUAAUUUAAAUUUUAUUUUUUUAAAAAUUGAAUUUUAAUAUAUAUUUAAAAAUAUUUUUAAAAAUUAAAGUUAAAAUAAAAAUAUUGGAGGAUCUAUUUAAAAAAAAAUAUGAAAAACUCGAGUAAAAACGAAAUUAAUAAAAUUUUGGCCACAUGGACCACCACGUCAGCAACGCGGCCGGUCUCCGUGCGCCAUGUGCCAGACAUGUGGACACGCGUCCCCGCGGGCGAUCUGUGUGCCAGCAGAUCCAACAGCCCAUAUCGCAUUCCGUGCGUACGAACGAUCCAGAUCAAUUUCCUUUUCAGACGCGAUCAAAUGUCUGAAUUUGAUCAAAUCGUGCGAUUCAGAUUAAUUCUCCAAAUAAGAGCAAUCCAACGCCUGAAAAUGGAUCACAUCUUCUCCUACGGACGACCCAAAUUUAAUGAAGAGGAUUAUUGAAACUCUUCUUCACAGGGAACCAUAACCCUAGCCGCUAGAGAGAAGAUUAAAGAAGAAGAAAAUGGGCGCCAGAAAUCCAACCAGUCGCCAGAUAAGAAGACCGGUCACCAUCGCCGCCGUACUAAAGCCAUCACCGACGCCGAAAAGGUAAAUUUUUUUUUCUUUCGUUCGAAAUUGAGUUUCGAACCUCUCCACACCCAUAUCGGAGCCAAAACGCCAAAGGGUGAACCAAAAAAUGCGAGUAGAACUCAACCGAGCCGCUGCUGCCACGAACUAAAAACUCCUCCGAUAAGUCCCUUCUCAUUUUUCGUUUCUUUCACUUUUUUGGCCUUCGUGAUCCUUUCUUGCGAUUCAAAUUACUGUUUCGUUCAUUAAUUGUUUGACUGAUUAUUCUCACUUACUGACUGAUUCGAAACAAAUGUCAUAAUCAUAUUUUUCUUGAGUUGCGUAUUAUCUUUUUGUAUAAUUUACUAUUAAUAUGUAAAUAUGAAAUGUUGGUAUGUAAUUGGUGAUUGGUUGAUGAUGUAGAUAUAUGUAUGAAAUGCUCAUCGGGUAUAUUAGAGAAGGGUGUAUGGACCCGGUGCAUAGGAAAAAUUCUACAGUGGAUAUUAUCUCAGUCGAACGGAAUUGAGAAGUUCCAUACUGAAAUGAAUUGAGAGGUAUAGAUCACCCUCAUAUCGGAUAAUGUAUUGAAUCGGUGGUAUAUUUGGUAUCUAUUACCAAAUGGAAUGUAAGAACGGUCGAUUAAUUGAUAAGUUAGAUAUUGGAUCCAUGUGUAUGGAGGAUCCCUAUGAAUCCUCAGAGGUACUAGUAAGCAGGUAAGAAGGCAAAUUUUACUAUUAUCGCUCAUUUAAACAUGUAAUAAAAUACUAUUUUGGUUAUUGUUUUUAUUAGGUCGAUUUUGGAAACUCAUAAGGAUAAAUAUGAAAAUAACAGUUUUUAUGUUAAAUGAAUUUAUUUAAAAAAUGAUAAUGACUUCAUUGGUUGUUUUUUAAUUUUUACCAACUUUUGAUUUUUCGUAUCGGUGUUAAGUGUAAUAUUCUUACUGCCUAGUGUACCUCAUUCCUUUUAUUUAAUUAUUUCAAAUCAGGAAAACCAAAACGCAAAUCUUGAACAGUAAAAAUUUAUAAAUAAAAGAUGUCUCCUACAUUCCAUCAAAGUUGUCCAGCGGAGGUUAACUCUAUAAGAUUUUAGUAUAUUUUUUUAUUUAUUCCAUUAUUAAAACUUAUUUAAAGGGACAGUUCCGUAAUCCUAUUAAGUAUCUAAAUUUAUUAUGUAGGAAAUAUAAACUCUAAACCUUUAAUCAUUUCUGUCAUUACAAUAUAUAUUUAUUUUUUUAAGAUUUUGAAUUUUUACAAUAAAUAUAUAUGUAUAUAUGAUAUAGAGAUAAAAUUUUAAAGAUUAUCUAUUCAAAUUUUAAAAUGUAGAAGAAUUAAUAUGAUAGUAUACCUAAUAUUUAUUCUAAAAUAUAAAAUAAAAUUUAAUUUUUAAUUGACUAUAAAUUAUACUCUCUAUAACGUUUAGAUAUAAAAAUAAUUUUGAUAGUAUAUAUAAUAGUUAAUAAUUUUAAAAUUUUCAAUUAUAAAAAUAGAAUUUAAUUCUUAUUUAACUACAAUUUAUUUACAUAAUUAAUUUUUAAAAUUAUAACUCAUGCAUAACGUAAGAUAUAUACCUAAUAAAUAUAUAUAUAACAGUAUCCUACUGUAAAUAUAAUAAAAAUUAAAAAUAUAUAUUUAAUAUUUUUUAACAAAAAUAUAUUAUUUGUCUUAAAAUUUUCUUUUGUUACAAUUUAAUUCACAAACUUAUAAAUUAUUAGAGAUGUAAUUCUUUUUGUAAAAUUAUAAAGUUUUUCAUUUAAAUGUCAAAAUGUUCUUACCAAUGUUCGUUUCUUAUAAUUUACAAGUUAAAAGUAAAUGAGUUACCUACACAAGAAUUUUUUUGUUUUCUUUUCAAAUUUCAAAUCUUAAUUUACAUUUCAUAAAAAUUUUAUGUUUCUAAGAUAUUCUCUGUCUUACCGGGUAAACAAAAAAAUAAAAAUAAAAUUUAUAUUGUCACUGCCAUUUAUGAAUUUUAACUCGUAUAAAUAAAAGGUUUAAAAAUUCAACAGUUGCAGUCUAUAUUUCAGACUACUAAAAUAAUAAAGUCAUGAAAAAAGCAGCCUAACCCAAGUAGUAGAAGUGAAGAAAUGAUAAAAAGAGAGGUAUCUUCUUUUGUACUUCAUAGAGUUCAAAUACGAGAAGAGGCAGUUGGUGUAUCCAUCUAUACGAGUUAGGACCAUUAGCCAUACAAGUAGAUGAGCCUUGAACCCAAAGUUUCAAUAUACCUAACCUCUCUCUCUCUCUCUCUCUCUCUCUCUCUCUCUCUCUCUCUCUCUCUCUCUCUAACAGUAGCUGAGAUACUCGUUUCAAUGACUAUUAUCCAUCUGUAGGAGUUUAGUAGAUGACCUCUUAUCAGCCUUUCUUGUCUUUGAAGCAAAAACUGAUACCCAAUGCUGACAACUUCUCAUUCUCUAUCUCUCUCUCUCUCUCUCUAACAAUUGUCUUCUAAUAUCCAAACGCACACAAAGAGACACUAAGUUGGAAGAUCUAGAUGGGUUCAUUUCAGACAUCAAAUGGUUUAGACACUUCAUGUGGAUAUUUACUUCAAGAACUGCAGGCAAUGCAUAUUAGCAAAUUUCUUUCACUUCAGAAGUUUAACAUGUCUGCGUGUAUUGUUUUUCUAAUGUAAUGUUAAUGAGACAGAUGAUAUGGGAUGAAGUCGGAGAAGAUGAGUUUGAAAGAGAGAAGGCUUUGCUGGAUUUGGAGGAGGAGUGUUUAGAAGUUUACCGGAGAAAAGUUGAUCGAGCAAACAUGUCAAGAGCUCGCCUGCAUCAGGAGUUGGCAGAAUCUGAAGCUGAAUUCACCCAUCUUCUUUUAUCCCUUGGUGAACCAUCACUUCCUGCCCGGGUACAUGAUCUAUCAAACUCUACAUCUAGCAGCCUCUUACAGCCUGCACUUCAAAUACAACACAUAUACACGUGUAAAACCCAAAUAAUAAUUUUACAAUGUUCUCUCUGAUGAACCUAAUAUUAUAAAAGCUCAAAAUCAAUUUCUAUCAUCAUUGAAUUCUGUGCUAAAGGUCUAUUGUAAGCUACCCCUUACGUUCUAGAAAGUUAAAUGAAAGGAUCUGUUAGAAUCUUUGCAGCAUAUGCAACAAUAAAGAUUGUGAGUCAUGCUGUGGUGAGAGUUUAGUCUGUCUAAAACAGAAUAUGCGUAAAUGACACGAUACUUUAUACUUGCCUGAGUCAUAUAAACUACUGUUUGUACAGCCAGAAAAGACGGGAAGGACGCUCAAGGAACAGCUAGAUUCAAUGUCACCUGCUUUGCAAGAAAUGCGGUUGAGAAAAGAGGAGAGAGUGAACGAGUUUCGAGCUGUGCAAGGGCAAAUUCAGAAAAUUUCUGCACAAGUAGCAGGUCAAUCAGAAUAUGACGAUUCAUCAACAAAGAUCAUAGUGAAUGAGAAUGAUCUCUCUCUCAAGAAAUUAGAGGAAUAUAAAACUGAACUUCAAAGACUCCACAAUGAGAAGGUAUUUCACUGCUCUUUGUGUUAGUAGCAAGCACAUUUUCAUUAUAUUCAUCAAAACUGAGAAAUUAAGGAACUCCUACUUCCAUUUUCUUUCCAUGGAUGGAAAGAAUGACAGGCUUCAGAGAGUGGAAAAGUACAUAAGUACAAUCCAUGAUUUAUCUGCAAUCCUGGGGAUUGAAUCCUCUAUGAUCAUAACUAAGGUUCAUCCAAGCUUGAAUGAACUGUACGGAAUAUCCAAAAACAUAAGUGACAGUAUAUUGGCCAAGCUAAACAGCACGGUGGAAUCUCUUGAAGACGAAAAACAACAGCGGCUUGAGAAGGUGAACUCUAAAUACCAUUCCUUCCCAUAUGUUCCUGAUCUUAGCCUUCUUUUGACCGCAUCUUAUUUAAAUCCAGUUGCAAUAAAACAUACAAGUUUGUCGACUGUGCUCAUGGCAUGUAUUCAUGGAAGUAAAAACAAAGAUCAACGUGAAAAAUCGGUUGUUGAGCUUUUAUUCCAUUUAUUCAAGGUGCCACUAACAUGUUAGGUAGAAGAUCAUCAUGACAAACUCUAAUUUACAUUUUGCAAGUUUGGCAGCUUCACCAUCUUGGUAAAUCCUUAAAGAACUUGUGGAAUCUUAUGAACACACCCUUCGAAGAUCGUCAACCGUUUUCCCAUGUAACUAAUUUACUAUCCAUCUCAUCAACAGAAGUUUCUUAUCCUGGAAGCCUUACUAUAAAUAAAAUCCAGCAGGUAAGAUACAUAGUAUCUAAUCUAACUUCAGUAUAUCAGAAAACAUCUAGACUAAACAGUAAUUAAAUUGUUGCAAGGCUGAUGCUGAAUUCAAGAGACUAGAUCAAUUGAAAGCAAGCAAGAUGAAGGAACUUUUCCUAAAGAAGCAGAAUGAACUAGAAGAGAUAUGCAAUAAAUCACACAUGUAUAUACCUUCAAGAUCGGAGAUGGAAAACAUCAUAAACCUCAUAAAAUCUGGUGUGACUUAGUGAAUACUGAGCUUUUUUUAUAGAAAGACUUGUGUUGUUUAAAUCUGAAGUGUCGUAAUCUGAUCAAAACCGACAAAAGGGGGGAUUGACCAUGCCAAUCUCCUCAUGACCAUGGAUGGACAGAUAUCAAGAGCAAAGGAAGAAGCCUCUAGUCGGCAAACAAUAAUGGAGAAAGUAGAAAGAUUGAUGUUAGCACGUGACGAGGAGCGGUGGCUUGAAGAAUAUAGCAUGGUUAAUACUCUCAACAUUGGUCCAAACAUUACUAGCUUUCACUUUAGACCACUCAUGCCUGUUUGACGGAUUUUUUUUUCAGGAUGAGAAUCGAUAUUCAGUCAGCAGAGGUGCUCAUAAGAAUCUGAGACGUGCAGAACGGGCCAGGGUAACAGUCAACAAAAUCCCAGGUAAAAUAGGAAAUUUCUUGUGUUAGAUAUUUGCUCGAUUCAGUAGAAGAAACCCAAAUCACUAAUACAACUGAUAAAUCCUAUAAAAUGAUUAUAUAUAAAAAUAAAUAAAUAAAACCACUGAUGCUUUCUGUUAAAGCAGUUAGUUUAUCCAUCCAAUGAUGUUUCUAUUUUCAUACAAUGAUCCAUUGCAGCAGUGGUUGAAACACUUAUAGCAAAAACAAAGAGCUGGGAAGAAGAGAGAAAGAAAGUUUUCCUAUAUGAUGAGGUGAGAAUCUUUUACCUGAAGGAUGUAGAUAGAACUAUGUUUAUUUUAUUGGGCACAAGUAGCUGAAUAGUUUUUUGCAAAUACGGGAGCAUUAUCUACAGUUACCAUAAACUAAUAAUAAGAAAAAUAACAUUUUGCUUUUCUAGGUACCUCUCCUUGCAAUGUUGGAGGAGUACAACAUGCUGCGCCAGGAAAAAGAGGACGAGAAGCUAAGACAACGGGUUAGUAUUGUUUGAAACUGCUAUCGAAAUAGAAUGCCAUUCAUCAGUCUCUAUUUUAGUCCACGUAUAUAGCUUUCUCAUCAGAAUGUUAACAGAGAAGAAAAUUUCACAUUCAAUAGCAUCUUUUAUGUAAUCUGAUACCUGAUCAGAUGGCGUUUCCUCAGCAGAAGAAAAAGGUUCAAAGCCAAGUAAUUACAGAGCAGGAUAGUUUCUCUAUUUCAAGGCCAACCACCAGUAGUCGGCAUAUUUCAAGUAGGAGCUUGAACGGAGGUUUCAGCAAUGCAAC
This 8810-nucleotide long non-coding RNA is filed under the name Carica papaya (papaya). RNAcentral describes it as "long non-coding RNA (CPAP_LNC009179)". The record is from RNAcentral. Lineage: Eukaryota; Viridiplantae; Streptophyta; Magnoliopsida; Brassicales; Caricaceae.